RNAcentral lists this non-coding RNA (126 nucleotides) under Serratia symbiotica str. Tucson. The record is from RNAcentral. Lineage: Bacteria; Pseudomonadati; Pseudomonadota; Gammaproteobacteria; Enterobacterales; Yersiniaceae.
GCCAGCCGAGUAAUGAGUGAAUUUCUGCACGAUUGUGAUGAGGUGAUGAUGAGAAAUAUUCACACAGAGUGAGCUGUGAUUCAAUGUAUUCAUCCAGCUAAUUACCGAAAAAUUGAAUACUCCAAU